CAUGCGCAAACAAAACCAAAAUUCGUUCAUCCGAUAUUAGUGCUCUCUUCAUAACAGUAAUUUUAAAGUUAAAGACCAAACACCAAAAUCAGUAAUUAUUCCAAAUAAAGAGUAUGUCCUGUAAACUAUUUUAGCAAAUAGAAAACAAUUUGUUUUUGUGUUUGAUAGCCACAUUGAUCAAGUACCACCGAGUAGUUUAGUCAUAGUGAUCGAUUUUGUUGCGAAAGAUACAAAUAUUCAAGAAGAGAGCAGAAGUAAUAAUCCUGAUUUUGAGCCUCCAGCAAAAUUCGUGUUGUAGAUAUAACAGCAAUUACAGAUCCAUGGAGACAUCAGGGAGACAUAUUAUAAUGGGAUCAUUUGGGUUUGGUGUAAGUGUCCAGACUCCAAUACUGAUGUCUGCGAAUACACCGAGAAAGCGGAAGCUGCAAAAUAGAACUUCCAAUUUACAGCGUGAAAAUAUAGAAUUAAAAGCGGAAGUAGUAAAGCAUUUGAAAUAAGCAAUCUAGUUUAAGUACGUUUCAGAGUUUAUAUAAAAAAUUUUUAUGCUCGAAAAUAGUUAAUUUCGUUAAUAUGUAGGUUGUACAAAAUAGUAGAAGUAUUCACGGCAGACAGUAUACAGUGUACAUUUUGUUGGGCCAAAAUGUUAUCGGCAGGUGCAAGCCACAUUUGUCUUUCCGUCGACGAGGGUGUUACAGAGGAAUUUAGAAAAAAUGCAAUUUUUUGUAGGGUUAAACAAUAUUUUAUUUGCCAUUUUAAAAUUGAAAGUAGAAAACAUGCAUAACUUAGACAAAUAUUGCUCAGUAUGUGUUGACGACAUGUUGACAAAAUUAUCCGAACAAACGCUUUCAUUAUAUUAUCAAUUACUCCAGCUGCUCGUGAAUCGUUCCGUGUCGAGUACUGUGUCUACCACAAGAAAACAUUGCUUAAACAGAAUGCCUUUAAGUACAAUACCAGAUACUUAUUGCACAAAUGCUUAAAAAUUCACAGUUGCCAAAUAUGCACUAUCUUUUCCAAUAGUAACGAGUUAGAUGAAACCAAUUUAUUUACACAUUUUAAAGCAUAUAAUACAGAACGCAAUUUUUAUGGUGCACUAAGAGAUCCACACGAAACCUUUUACAAUUGAUUUAUUUACUUUAGAAACAGUAUUUUUUUCAAAUGCACAUUCUGUUUUACCUCGCACCAAUGUAGGAAACAAUAUGUAUCAGUUAUGUACAAUAUCAAUCAUAGUGUCCGUUCGUCUAGUGAAAAAGCACUGACUUUGGAGUCCAAGUUUAACUGUAGCAAAUAUCGUAAAUCUAAUUAUUUAAUAAAAGCGUUAAAUUAAUUAACAUAAUCAUCUGAUAAAAGCUUUAAAAUAUUCAAUAAUUUAGAAUUUCAAUCAUUUAUUUGAAAUUACAAAAUACACUAGAUGAACGGACACUAUGAUUGAUAUUGUACAAACAGUAUCAAUCAUAGUGUCCGUUCGUCUAGUGAAAAAUCACUGUCUUUGGAGUCCAAGUUUAAUCGCAGCAAAUAAAUAUUCUAAAGCUUUUAUCACAUGAUUAUGUUAAUUAUUUUAACGCUUUUAUUGAAAAAUUAGAUUUAUGAUAUUUGCUGCGGUUAAACUUGGAUUCCAAGGUCAGUGCUUUUUCACUAGACGAACGGACACUAUGAUUGAUUCUGUACAAAUGUUACCGGUUUCACUCAUCCUUGUAAGAAUUUCCCUUUGCAAUAUUUAUUAUAGUUAUUUAUUCAAUUAAGAAUUUAUUACACAUUGAAAUAUAGUAAUAGAGAUUUUAAAACGGGUGUAAAAAAAGAUAGGAGGUUUCGCAUUGUAUUGAAUUUGUAAAUAUUGUAAUGUCCUUUAAAUGUUAUCCAGAACCUUCUCUCAUCUUAUUGUAUAAUUAUGUAAUUUAUAUAUAAAUAUAUUUUCGAGAACGUUCCCUCA
Non-coding RNA from Osmia lignaria (orchard mason bee), 1927 nucleotides. Lineage: Eukaryota; Metazoa; Arthropoda; Insecta; Hymenoptera; Megachilidae. The record is from RefSeq and is a predicted model, not a curated record.